CCACUCAGUUUAGAUAUGAUGGCUAUCUGUUCUUUGCCAGCCUCCAUCAACUUAUCCACCAUCUCUCUCAUUUUCUCAUUUUCUUCAACCAGUUUUUCGUCCAUCUCUCUGUCUCUUACCAAAUCAUGCUUGUCCACCGUCUCCCGCUGGGCAUUCGGCAAAGCAGGUAGGGACACUUCACCCAUCUCAAUAGAGGUUGCUUCCCCAGUAGCAUGUAACUCGUUAGCCUGGUUAUCUAACUUGCAGGAUGGGAUAUGUUCGAGUACACAUGGGUCUUGUAGCACGUCUUCUGCCAUUUUAUUUUUCGUAUCUGCAGUUUGUUGUUCAUUUUCAUUGGUUACCAUCUCGUUUUUUAUGUUCUCAUUACGGUAGGAUUCUGAUAAUUCCCCUAGCGAUUCUGCAGAUUGAUCACAUGCUCGUCUAGCCUGGUGGUUGUCCCACUCAUCUUCCAGCACCUUCUCCACCUCAUCUGUCUGUUGUCUGUCUUCAUCGGUUAACAAUUCGUUUUGGAUGAUCAGGUCAUCAUUAGAGUUUGAUUGCUCCCCUGGCAGUGCUGCAGAUUCAUCAGGUGCUCCUUGCUUCUCAGUAGGGCUUCCGUCACUAUCUAGUUUGACUGCUAAAUUAUGUGAAUUCUCUUCAGCCUCUGAUACCCCUCUCCUCAUCUCAACGUGCUCAAGCUUGUCAGUUUCGGGUUUAUUUGAAUUGCCAUCCUCUCUCAUUGGAAGUUCCAUAUCUGCAGCCUUUUCAUAAGGUGUUGAAAUGGUUAUCUUAUCAAUUGCUUCAGGUGUUUGUCCUGCUUGUGCUCCCACUUGAUCAUCAGAAUCGGGGCUCAAAACAUGAACUUCCAAAGAAUCUCUUACAGGAUGGCCAUCUUCUGAAAAAUAUCGGUGAUGAUGUAAAGUUUCUUCAUUCAUGUCCAUUUGAAGAACUUCAUCUACAUUUUCCUCUGCAUCAUUGACCAGCUUCACAUUCUGUUCCAUCUCAGCUCCUGAUUCAUCCUCAUCUGCUCGCUUUUCCCCCAUUAGCGAAGGCAUAACUUCUUCACCCUCGAUUUGGUUGGAGAAGUAUUGAGAAGACAAUCCGGAGGUAUCUUCAUUUUGACACCCAUGUUCUCUCGGUUUUGCAAGUUGUUCUGCUUCAGACAUGGUAUUUUGAUCGAUUACUUCCUGUAACUUGCCAUGUCCAUCCCUUGUCGGCUCAAGUUCUUCGCCUGUGGAGGCCUUCAUGCCUGCAAAGCCAGCCAUAUCGUCAACUCUGACAAGAGUUUGAGCUUCAUGCGACUCCCCCAAAAGACUGUCGCUUUCAUUUACCCCCUUGGGAAAGAUUUCACCGGUUGAUACUACAUCCUUCUGCUCCUGCUCCUCCUUUAUGUCGUCAUGGGUUUCCACAUCAAAAUGCUCAGUAGGUUUUUUUAUGGAGGCUUCAGGUACUACUUCUGUAGGCUUGUUAAUCACCAUGCAGUCAAGUUUUUCCUCAAGAGCUACAAGUUCUUUUGCCAAAGAUUUCCGAAACUCCCUUAUACUUGGAUGCAGACCCUAUUGAACGCAAAAGUAAAGAAGAUAACUUAGGAUAGGCCUUCAAAUCUAUAUUUUAGUUUCAAUUUAACAAAACGUAAUUGAUAAAGGAUAGAGAGGGAAUCUUAAAUUUUAAAUCUACUUCAGCUCGAACUGCGUUUAACCAUGGAUGGAAGAGAACUAUACAUUCUAAAACCACAGAUAUGUUCAGACUAAGAUUUUCAAGAUUUUAACAAAUUUAUUUUCACAUCCAUGGCCAGCAAUAACUACUCUACAUUUUAGAAAGAUAAAAGUUACCACUAAGCAAUAAAGGAAGCCAAGGCAUUUUGCAGCAGGAGUUUCCAAAUAUCGUUUAUGCAAUCAUUUUUCUAAAAAAGGAAAAGUAAAAAUUGAGCGUUGAUAAAAUACCUGUAUGGUGUCAAGUUUUAGCAACAGUCUCAUUAUCAUUUCUCCAACAAACAAUUGUUCUUUCUCAUCUUGAGGAGCCAAUUCCAGAGCUUUCACUCGAUUUUGAACCUCUAUGACCUUUUGACGAACUUCAACAAGUUGCUUCAUUUUUUUCAGAAGUUCCCAUUUCCUAACUCCAUAACCACGGUAAGCUGACUGAAUAAGCACGGCUGCUUCAUUAUCUGACAAGUUAGGUUUUUCAAGUUUCCCUUCUUCCUGAGCUGAGCCCCCUGAGCUUACCUCCAAUCGUUCAUCGACUGCCUUCUCAGGAGAUGCUUUGCUUAUUGCUUUGUCUUUCUCUCCAUAUUCUUCCCUGUGACUUUCCUCUUCUUCUUUGCAGAGCUUGUCAGCAGACUUCUCUUGAGACUUAGACUGCGUUGGCAAGCUUAGUGGCUCUCCAGUGCUAGAGACACUCUCCUUGUCCACUUGGUGAUUACCAUCAGGGGUCUCAUGGGUUUUCACCUCUACAGUCUUGAUGAUCUUUUCACCAUCUGGCUCUCCAGUAACAUUAUUGAUCUUUGAAUCCAGUUGAGAACUUCCCUUCACAGCAGUCGAUUGUGGAGAACUCGACCUUGAACUGCCGUUGCCAUUUUUUUUCUUUGCAGGAGGAUCCACUCUAAGACAAACAGGGGGCAAUCUUGAUUUCUUUGGCGAGGAUGAAGAUCGUCCUUUCACAUUAUUUCUAGACAGUUCCUCCUUUUCCUCAUUAUUUUUUACAGCCUCCACAGGGAUGCAUCUCCUUUCUUUAUUUUUC
This 2715-nucleotide long non-coding RNA is filed under the name Cucumis sativus (cucumber). RNAcentral's name for it is "long non-coding RNA (CSAT_LNC002166)". Lineage: Eukaryota; Viridiplantae; Streptophyta; Magnoliopsida; Cucurbitales; Cucurbitaceae. The record is from RNAcentral.